This is a non-coding RNA of Salvia hispanica, 1146 nucleotides long. The record is from RefSeq and is a predicted model, not a curated record. Lineage: Eukaryota; Viridiplantae; Streptophyta; Magnoliopsida; Lamiales; Lamiaceae.
UAUUUUUUAUGAAUUUUGGUACCAAUUUUUAUGAUGACACGUGGCAGAAUAUGAUGUGCAAAUGAUACGAACUCUCUUUGGAAGAAAACCUACUUGUAUGGAAGCAGUAUCUGUAAAAUCCAAUUCGGCAAUUCGACGCCAUACAAUUCCUUUGUGGAACACGACGACUCGUUUUCUCUCUCUCUACCCUCCUUCUUCCCUCACUUGUUUUUGUUUAUGAUCACAAUUCAACUGAAAAUUCCUUGAUUAAUACACGCCAUUGUCAAUUUUGGUACGUAUCGGAAGAAUUGAAUUCCUUGACUCGCACAGAAUCAUAUGCUGCCGCCACAUGUUGCCGCGACGUCGUUUUCGUGAUUCUCUUGAUCAGCGAAGCGAUUUUGAUGUCUGAUAGAGAUCGGGCGGAGGCUGAUGAGGGCGGAGGAAUCAACGGCGGCGAUGAAGAGGGUAGAGAGUGGAGGUGCAAGAGGUGUGGGAGUAAGGGGAAAAGGCCGGCCUUCUUUCGGUUGAGGAAGAGCAAGAAACUGCUUCAGCAGAAGCGGAAGCAGAAGCAGAGUGGCGUUUAUGUGAAUUCACGGAGUUGGGGCAGAAGCGGUGGGUGGUGUUGCUUGUGCCUGCGGCAGCCCAAGACUCUCGAUUCUUCCGGUUUUGAUUCUCAUUUGUAAGUCAGGUGCACACGAUUCAGACGUGAUAGAAGACUAUAACCAGGCUUUAAGGUUUUUUUGGGAGCUUCAGUGAGAACUACAUGAACUUUCACUUUUUUUUUCUAGUACUACUAUUUGUUUUACUUUGAAAUGUAACAGAAGCAGUACUAGAUUAUUUUAAAAUGCAAAUUUUGUUUUACUUUCACAUUUCCCUUGCACUUUCAUGUCUCUCUGCAGUGUCUCCUCCAAGCCAUAUUUUAUUUGUCAUUACUAUCAGGUUUGUUAUGAACCUGAAGUUCCAUAGUAGUAUGUCAGGUACGAAGGCGUUGUGCCAAGAUUUAGUGAUGUUGGACGCUAAUCAUCGUGUUUGAUCAUUUCUGUGUGUGGUGAUGAUCACAUUUUAUUUGAAUUGCCUUCUAUUUGAUGGCAAACUUAGGUUACUGUAAAGAUUUUAAGAUACCGAAAGGUGAAAUUUAGUUUUCUAUGACUGCAGAUUUUUCAUUUC